UGGGUCUUCUCCUAAAAAGUAGUUAAAUAAUACAGACUUUAGAAUUAAACCUAUAAUUAAGACUUGAUGCUACAGCUUCUUAUAUGACCUAAAUGCCUACCUUCUCUAAGCCUUUAGUAUAUGUCUGUCAAAUGGACACAUAAGAGUCAGUACCUUGGAGAGGUGUUGUAGGGAUUAGACAAGACAGGCAAUAUGACUCAUCUAUGAACUCAGCCUAUGUCCCUUUCUGCCAUUCUAGAACACCCUGAUAAAACAGUCCUCUAUGCAUCAUGUUCCUAGAAACUUUACAAUGGGCUGAGCAAAGAUGUCACUGUUGACAGUAAAGAACAUUCUGAUGGUAGCAAGUGGAGGGUACAAGAUGUCACAUGGACCCCUUCACAUCUUCAGUAGUUCUUCCCAGAAUGCUUUUCAAUGCUACCUACCAUCAGAGGGAACCAGACAGUGAGACAGACUGACAGACAGACAGGAUUUAUCAGCACAUCUGGAGAAUGCUUCGUGCAGCUCGAUGGAGCCCAGGCCUUGCUGCUGCUGCUGCUGCUGCUGCUGCUGCUGCUGCUGCUGCUGCUGGGAAGAAGCUGGUGGCUUACAAGAAGCCUUUCCCUACGUUUCAUUUGCUUUGCAAUAAAAGCCCCAAAGCUCUGGCUUUAGGCUGCUGUUCCCAUCACUAAGCUACUUAAUCCACUUGCCUUUGAGGUUGGAGUUCAAAUGAGGGUCACCCCAGAGUCAGCCUAGCAGCUUCCCAGGAAAUCCAUGAGGCCACCGGCCUUGGGGGCUUGCGACCUCAGAGGGACCCUGUCCAGUGCCU
RNAcentral lists this long non-coding RNA (805 nucleotides) under Mus spicilegus (steppe mouse). RNAcentral's name for it is "lncRNA (ENSMSIG00000018554.1)". The record is from RNAcentral. Lineage: Eukaryota; Metazoa; Chordata; Mammalia; Rodentia; Muridae.